Non-coding RNA from Camellia sinensis, 346 nucleotides. Lineage: Eukaryota; Viridiplantae; Streptophyta; Magnoliopsida; Ericales; Theaceae. The record is from RefSeq and is a predicted model, not a curated record.
CUCUACUAUAUGGAAUCAUCAAUGGAAUUUUAUUUAAUUAUUUUUAUCUAAUUUUGUUGCCACAGAUCCUUGGCUCAUAACAGGAUUAGUAAGAUUCCAUCUUCAUUACAAAAUUUGUCCAAGCUUUCAUAUAUUGUCCUUGAUGAUAACUUACUGGGUGGACACAUACCAACUUUCUUUAGUCAAAUGAAGUCGUUGAGCUUAUUGUAAGUUUGCAUCAUAACUUCAUCGUUCAUUGGUUUAAUAUCAGCAAAUUAAAUUCGAAAUGGUCUAUCUCUUUUUUAUUAGUGUUUGGCAUUUAAAGAUUACCUCAUCUAUCUAUCUAUUUUCUAUGAGACAUUUUACA